Mytilus californianus (California mussel) is the source of this 163-nucleotide long non-coding RNA. RefSeq lists it as uncharacterized. The transcript is spliced from 3 exons. The record is from RefSeq and is a predicted model, not a curated record. NCBI's taxonomy places the organism in Eukaryota, Metazoa, Mollusca, Bivalvia, Mytilida, Mytilidae.
UGACAAGGUCGAUGUCCUAACUCUGUUAUAUUUUGUAAUUACCAUGACAAGGUCAAUGUCCUAACUCUGUUAUAUUUUGUAAUUACCAUGACAAGGUCAAUGUCCUAACUCUGUUAUAUUUUGUAAUUACCAUGACAAGGUCGAUGUCCUAACUCUGUUAUAU